UCGAGAAUUUUUCACAAUGGGCGAAAGCCUGAUGGAGCGACGCCGCGUGGGGGAUGAAUGGCUUCGGCCCGUAAACCCCUGUCAUUUGCGAUCAAACCUGGUAAUUUAAAAGAUGACCAGCUGAUAGUAGCGAAAGAGGAAGGGACGGCUAACUCUGUGCCAGCAGCCGCGGUAAUACAGAGGUCCCAAGCGUUGUUCGGAUUCACUGGGCGUAAAGGGUGCGUAGGUGGUAAGGUAAGUCGGAUGUGAAAUCUCCGAGCUCAACUCGGAAAAUGCAUUGGAAACUACCUUGCUUGAGGGUUGGAGGGGGGACUGGAAUACUUGGUGUAGCAGUGAAAUGCGUAGAUAUCAAGUGGAACACCAGUGGCGAAGGCGAGUCCCUGGACAACUCCUGACACUGAGGCACGAAAGCUAGGGGAGCAAACAGG
This 428-nucleotide ribosomal RNA is filed under the name uncultured Verrucomicrobiota bacterium. RNAcentral describes it as "bacterial SSU rRNA". It matches the Rfam family "Bacterial small subunit ribosomal RNA", at positions 355 to 776 of the family's 1533-position model. The record is from RNAcentral. Lineage: Bacteria; Pseudomonadati; Verrucomicrobiota.